Long non-coding RNA from Cynoglossus semilaevis (tongue sole), 496 nucleotides. RefSeq lists it as uncharacterized. NCBI's taxonomy places the organism in Eukaryota, Metazoa, Chordata, Actinopteri, Pleuronectiformes, Cynoglossidae. The transcript has 3 exons. The record is from RefSeq and is a predicted model, not a curated record.
AAGGCCUCUGUCAGCUGUGCUUCGGAUUUGUCACUCAGACCACAGGAAGCGAAGAACUUCUUGUGGCAGAAGGAGUCAGCAGCUGAAAACCACAGCAAUGUGAUUAUAAUAUACCAGAAUGAAGAGUUGUUAUUACACCACUGCUUUUACAACAGGUAAGAAUCAAAUCAGACCACAUGUUCUAAACUAUCUGAUCUGUUGACAAAUAUAGCCUUUAAAGAUUAUUGUUCCGGUCCUCUCGGUCUGUUGUUGUGUCCAUAUCCUUAAAACCAAAGCCAAACCAAAACUAACACAUGUUCCUGUAGAACAGUUCACAGAUGCUGAAACUCUGACCAGUGAUCCCUGUCUUCAUGCUGCUGCCAUUCUCAAAAGAAGAAAAAAACCCCACAGUGAUCUAUCCCUCAGCAAAAAAAAAAAAUCACCUUUUCCUUAAAAAGCACAGACUUCCAUCAGCAUUAUCCCCAGCUCUUCUUUUUUCUGUGUGUUUUUCAUGCAA